Molecule: ribosomal RNA, 459 nt
Filed under: uncultured bacterium
Lineage: Bacteria
Description: partial 16S ribosomal RNA
Rfam family: Bacterial small subunit ribosomal RNA
Source: RNAcentral
CCUACGGGUGGCAGCAGUGAGGAAUAUUGGUCAAUGGGCGGGAGCCUGAACCAGCCAAGCCGCGUGAGGGAAGAAGGUACAGCGUAUCGUAAACCUCUUUUGUCAGGGAACAAAGGCGGGGACUAGUCCCCGGAUGAGGGUACCUGAAGAAAAAGCAUCGGCUAAACCCGUGCCAGCAGCCGCGGAAAUACGGAGGAUGCGAGCGUUAUCCGGAUUUAAUGUGUUAAAGGGGUGCGCAGGCGGCCUGUAAAGUCAGCGGUAAAAGCCCGGGGCUAAACCCCGGCGAGCCGUUGAUACUGGCGGGCUUGAGUUGGAGAGAAGUACGCGGAAUGCGCGGUGUAGCGGUGAAAUGCUUAGAUAUCACGCAGAACCGCGAUUGCGAAAGCAGCGUACCGGCUCCACACUGACGCUGAGGCACGAAAGCGUGGGUAUCGAACAGGAUUAGAUACCCCGGUAGUC